Molecule: transfer RNA, 73 nt
Filed under: Candidatus Acetothermia bacterium
Lineage: Bacteria; Candidatus Bipolaricaulota
Also listed under: 1 other name
Description: tRNA-Gly
Rfam family: tRNA
About the family: Transfer RNA (tRNA) molecules are approximately 80 nucleotides in length. Their secondary structure includes four short double-helical elements and three loops (D, anti-codon, and T loops).
Source: RNAcentral
GCGGGCAUAGCUCAGUUGGUAGAGCAUCGGCUUCCCAAGCCGAAGGCCACGGGUUCGAAUCCCGUUGCCCGCU